GAUGAACGCUGGCGGCGUGCCUAACACAUGCAAGUCGAGCGAUUCUCCUCGGAGAAGAGCGGCGGACGGGUGAGUAACGCGUGGGUAACCUGCCCUGUACACACGGAUAACAUACCGAAAGGUAUGCUAAUACGGGAUAACAUGAGAAAGUCACAUGGCUUUCUUAUCAAAGCUUUUGCGGCACAGGAUGGACCCGCGUCUGAUUAGCUAGUUGGUAAGGUAACGGCUUACCAAGGCGACGAUCAGUAGCCGACCUGAGAGGGUGAUCGGCCACAUUGGAACUGAGACACGGUCCAAACUCCUACGGGAGGCAGCAGUGGGGAAUAUUGCACAAUGGGCGAAAGCCUGAUGCAGCAACGCCGCGUGAGCGAUGAAGGCCUUCGGGUCGUAAAGCUCUGUCCUCAAGGAAGAUAAUGACGGUACUUGAGGAGAAAGCCCCGGCUAACUACGUGCCAGCAGCCGCGGUAAUACGUAGGGGGCUAGCGUUAUCCGGAAUUACUGGGCGUAAAGGGUGCGUAGGUGGUUUCUUAAGUCAGAGGUGAAAGGCUACGGCUCAACCGUAGUAAGCCUUUGAAACUGAGAAACUUGAGUGCAGGAGAGGAGAGUAGAAUUCCUAGUGUAGCGGUGAAAUGCGUAGAUAUUAGGAGGAAUACCAGUUGCGAAGGCGGCUCUCUGGACUGUAACUGACACUGAGGCACGAAAGCGUGGGGAGCAAACAGGAUUAGAUACCCUGGUAGUCCACGCCGUAAACGAUGAGUACUAGCUGUCGGAGGUUACCCCCUUCGGUGGCGCAGCUAACGCAUUAAGUACUCCGCCUGGGAAGUACGCUCGCAAGAGUGAAACUCAAAGGAAUUUGACGGGGACCCGCACAAGUAGCGGAGCAUGUGGUUUA
This 892-nucleotide ribosomal RNA is filed under the name uncultured bacterium. RNAcentral describes it as "bacterial SSU rRNA". It matches the Rfam family "Bacterial small subunit ribosomal RNA", at positions 28 to 948 of the family's 1533-position model. The record is from RNAcentral.